RNAcentral lists this ribosomal RNA (250 nucleotides) under uncultured bacterium. RNAcentral describes it as "partial 16S ribosomal RNA". It matches the Rfam family "Bacterial small subunit ribosomal RNA", at positions 524 to 773 of the family's 1533-position model. The record is from RNAcentral.
UACAGAGGCCCCGAGCGUUAUCCGGAAUUAUUGGGUGUAAAGGGUGUGUAGGUGGCGUGAUUAGUCGUUUUUGAAAGCCCGGGGCUUAACCCCGGGACCGGGGACGAAACGGUCAUGCUUGAGUAAGGAAGAGGUAAGCGGAACUCAAUGUGUAGGGGUGAAAUCCGUUGAUAUAUUGGGGAACACCAAAAGCGAAGGCAGCUUACUGGUCCUUUACUGACACUGAAACACGAAAGCGUGGGUAGCGAAU